RNAcentral lists this ribosomal RNA (215 nucleotides) under uncultured bacterium. Its description in RNAcentral is "partial 16S ribosomal RNA". It matches the Rfam family "Bacterial small subunit ribosomal RNA", at positions 118 to 351 of the family's 1533-position model. The record is from RNAcentral.
UGGGAACGUGCCCAAAGGUACGGAACAACUCCGGGAAACUGGAGCUAAUACCGUAUGUGCCCGAAAGGAGAAAGAUUCAUCGCCUUUGGAUCGGCCCGCGUCUGAUUAGCUAGUUGGCGGGUAAUGGCCCACCAAGGAGACGAUCAGUAGCUGGUCUGAGAGGACGACCAGCCACACUGGAACUGAGAUACGGUCCAGACUCCUACGGGAGGCAG